CUCUAGCCCUCCCUGUCCCUGACGUCUGCAAAGCUCACAGAAACAGAAAAACCUAUAAUGGAAAAAUGCAACAGUUGUUGAAGAAUGGAGAUAACAGAAGUGGCUGAGGUUCAACUAUGCUACCUGGAAGCACAAAGAGAUGCUGUUGAGCAGAUGUCCCUCAAGCUGUACAGCGAGCAGUAUACCAGCAGCAGCAAGCGAAAGGAAGAGUUUGCUGAUAUGUCAAAAGUUCAUUCAGUGGGAAGCAAUGGGCUUCUGGACUUUGAUUCAGAAUAUCAGGAGCUCUGGGAUUGGCUGAUUGACAUGGAGUCCCUUGUGAUGGACAGCCACGACCUGAUGAUGUCAGAGGAGCAGCAGCAGCAUCUUUACAAGCGAUACAGUGUGGAAAUGUCCAUCAGACACCUGAAAAAGACGGAGCUGCUUAGUAAGGUUGAAGCUUUGAAGAAAGGUGGCGUUUUACUACCAAAUGAUCUCCUUGAAAAAGUGGAUUCAAUUAAUGAAAAAUGGGAACUGCUUGGGAAAACCCUAGGAGAGAAGAUCCAGGACACAAUGGCAGGGCACAGUGGGUCGAGUCCACGUGACCUGCUCUCUCCUGAAAGCGGAAGCCUGGUAAGGCAGCUGGAGGUCAGGAUCAAAGAACUGAAAGGGUGGCUAAGAGAUACAGAGCUUUUCAUCUUCAAUUCCUGUCUGAGACAAGAAAAGGAAGGAACAAUGAAUACUGAGAAACAACUGCAAUACUUUAAGUCCCUCUGUCGUGAAAUCAAGCAACGACGUCGAGGAGUUGCCUCCAUUCUGCGACUAUGCCAGCAUCUUUUGGAUGACCGGGAGACUUGCAAUCUGAAUGCAGACCACCAGCCC
RNAcentral lists this small RNA (858 nucleotides) under Pongo abelii (Sumatran orangutan). RNAcentral describes it as "processed transcript". The record is from RNAcentral. Lineage: Eukaryota; Metazoa; Chordata; Mammalia; Primates; Hominidae.